GCCAGACUCCUACGGGAGGCAGCAGUGGGGAAUAUUGGACAAUGGGGGGAACCCUGAUCCAGCGACGCCGCGUGAGUGAAGAAGUAUUUCGGUAUGUAAAGCUCUAUCAGCAGGGAAGAAAGAAAUGACGGUACCUGACUAAGAAGCCCCGGCUAACUACGUGCCAGCAGCCGCGGUAAUACGUAGGGGGCGAGCGUUAUCCGGAUUCACUGGGUAUAAAGGGAGCGUAGACGGCCAAGCAAGCCAGGGGUGAAAGCCCGGGGCCCAACCCCGGGACUGCCCUUGGAACUGCUUGGCUGGAGUGCGGGAGGGGCAGGCGGAAUUCCUGGUGUAGCGGUGAAAUGCGUAGAUAUCAGGAGGAACACCGGCGGCGAAGGCGGCCUGCUGGACCGCGACUGACGUUGAGGCUCGAAAGCGUGGGGAGCGAACAGGAUUAGAUACCCCAGUA
This 448-nucleotide ribosomal RNA is filed under the name uncultured bacterium. RNAcentral describes it as "partial 16S ribosomal RNA". It matches the Rfam family "Bacterial small subunit ribosomal RNA", at positions 330 to 792 of the family's 1533-position model. The record is from RNAcentral.